UAACACCUGGAAACAGAUGCUAAUACCGGAUAACAAUAGAUGAUGCCUAUCAACUGUUUAAAAGAUGGUUCUGCUAUCACUCUUGGAUGGACCUGCGGUGCAUUAGCUAGUUGGUAGGGUAACGGCCUACCAAGGCGAUGAUGCAUAGCCGAGUUGAGAGACUGAUCGGCCACAUUGGGACUGAGACACGGCCCAAACUCCUACGGGAGGCAGAGUG
RNAcentral lists this ribosomal RNA (217 nucleotides) under uncultured Lactobacillus sp. RNAcentral describes it as "partial 16S ribosomal RNA". It matches the Rfam family "Bacterial small subunit ribosomal RNA", at positions 144 to 351 of the family's 1533-position model. The record is from RNAcentral. Lineage: Bacteria; Bacillati; Bacillota; Bacilli; Lactobacillales; Lactobacillaceae.